RNAcentral lists this ribosomal RNA (119 nucleotides) under Lepisosteus oculatus (spotted gar). Lineage: Eukaryota; Metazoa; Chordata; Actinopteri; Semionotiformes; Lepisosteidae. The record is from RNAcentral.
ACCAGCAGCCAUAUCACCCUGCAAAUCUCAACUGGCAACCCACUGAAGUUAAGCAGUUGUGAACCUGGUCAGUACCUGGAUAGGAGACCUCCUGGGAAAAACUAAGGUUGGUGCUGGAA